This 416-nucleotide ribosomal RNA is filed under the name uncultured prokaryote. RNAcentral's name for it is "bacterial SSU rRNA". It matches the Rfam family "Archaeal small subunit ribosomal RNA", at positions 914 to 1331 of the family's 1478-position model. The record is from RNAcentral.
CUCGCGUGUCUAUUACCAGAAGCGACGGCAGGAUGAAGGUCAGACUAAAGAUCUUACCUGACGAGCCGAGAGGUGGUGCAUGGCGACCGUCAGCUCGUGGUGCGAACUGUCCGGUUAAGUCCGGUAACGAGCGAGACCCUUAUGAAUAGUUGCAACCAAUACAGAUGUGUAUUGGGCACUCUGUCGGGACCGCCUGCGUUUAAGCAGGAGGAAGGAGAGGGCCACGGUACGUCAGUACGGCCCAAACCUCCAGGGCUACACGCGGCAUACAAAGGUUGGUACAAUGGGCUGCCACUCAGAGAUGAGGAGCCAAUCCCCUAAACCAAUCUAAGUUCGGAUUGAGGGUUGAAACUCACCCUCAUGAAGUUGGAAUCCCUAGUAAUCGCUUGUCAUCAUCGAGCGGUGAAUACGUCCCU